UCUAAAAAAUAUUUUACUAAAAGAAUUUCAAGUGUUGUGGUAAGAAUAUAAUGGUGUAAAUAUUUUUAGAUUUUAAAUAGACAUCCCGCUUUGGAACCCAGAUAAAAGAAACUGAUGUAUCUACCAAAAUAUGGACUUAAAGUGGAUCAGGUAAAUAUUUUCUGUUUCUUAGAUAUUUUAUUGUCUUUUCAGAAAUAAAGCUACCCAUAAAUAGGCUUCAGCUGAGUAUGAGAAGUAAGAUUAUUUUUAACACUUUUUAUACUUGUUCUUUUUUAAAGAUUACAAGAUAUAGUGAUACAAUGGCAGAAAUACUAGUAACUGUUAUUUUAAGAAACUUUGAACAGCUACAAACUAAAAGAACAGCAUCGGAUUCUCACUAUGUUACCUUAAUUUUAGGUGAUGCGAUAAUGAAGUAGUUUAUCUGCACAAGAUUAUGGAUUCUGUUUUGCUAAAAGCUGGAAAUUGGGCUAAAAAGAUUGCUGUGAAGAGAGCUCUUAAAUCUGAAGAUCUUAGCAUAAAUAUAAUAAGUUCUGAAUUUGUUGGGCUUGAUGUUCAGCGGAAAUUUACAGUCUUUUACUUAGAACCCAAGAGGUUUGGAAAUCAAAUGACUAUGCAAAGAACAUCUGAAACACAGAUUUCCCAUUCUAAACUUUCAGAUAGAUCUACAAUAGCAGGACCUAAUAAAGGAAUGACUGCCAGCAAAAAACCUGGGAACCGAGAAUGCAAUCAUCCUUGUAAAAGUAAACAUACAUGUGGACAUAACUGCUGUAAAAUUGGAAUUGCACAGAAGUCAGAAAUUAAAGAGUCAACAAUUUCUUCAUAUUUAUCUGAUUUAAGAAACAGGAACGCUGUUUCAUCUGUUCCUAUAGUUAAACGUCUGAAGGUUAGUUUUAAUAACAUUUUCCCUUUGUUCUGUAAUUUAAUGUAUAUAAAUAUUCUUUGUUCUGU
Molecule: long non-coding RNA, 948 nt
Organism: Macaca nemestrina (pig-tailed macaque)
Lineage: Eukaryota; Metazoa; Chordata; Mammalia; Primates; Cercopithecidae
Source: Ensembl